Molecule: long non-coding RNA, 6273 nt
Organism: Sapajus apella (tufted capuchin)
Lineage: Eukaryota; Metazoa; Chordata; Mammalia; Primates; Cebidae
Exons: 3
Source: RefSeq, a predicted model, not a curated record
CCUCCCACCCUCUCUCUCCCCUUCUUCCCUUCCUCCCUCCCCUCACAUCACACACAUGCUAUAUACCUGUUCCCAUGUGAUCAGAUAUGAUCUGGUACCAUCCCCCUCUUGUAAUAGAUGUGGAUGGUGGGACCAAGAAAUAUUAAUUUUGCCUUUGAAUUCUGUUUUCUGGAUUGAUUCUGGCCUACUCUGUUAUAUUUCUGAGACAUCAGGUAGCUUUAUAUCCAUAGAGUACCUAGAGAAAUGACAAUCAUACUAAAUAGAAAUAUUUGGAUUUGCAUGCUAUUAUGUGUUACCUUAGUCUGUUUUGUGUAUCAUAGCAGAAUAUCACUGACUGGAUAAUUCAUAAAGAAAAUAAUUUUAUUUCUCACAGUUUUGGAGGCUGAGAAAUCUAAUAUUGAGGUGCCAGUGUCUGGUGAGGGCCUUCUUGCUGCAUUAUCCCAUGGUAGAAAGCAGAAGGGCAUGAGAGUACAUGGGAGAGAUAGCAAGAGAUUGAACACACAGUAUUAAGCUAUUUUAUAGUCAGCAUUAAUUAAUUCAUGAGUGGAGAGCUCUCUUGAACUAAACACCUCCCACGAGGCCCCAUCUCCUAACCCUGUUGGAUUGUGUAUUAAGUUCCAACACAUGCUUUUUGAUAGACACAUUCAACCAUAGCACAUAUUAACUUAAAUUGGGUAAUUUACUUGUGAUUUUCUUUGAAAUUAGUCCCUGUUUCCCAUUUAGUGACAGAAUCAUUAAUGAAUUCUUCUUAUAGCUUAUCUGUUAUUGGUUUAUGUGUAAUAGUAUAUACUAUCAUACAUGUUAGUUUUAGUUUAUUAAUAGAUUGACCAUGGUUUUAGUUUUUUGUCUUUUACCAGUUUCAAGAAACAUUUAUGUAUCUUAAGUUCAUGAAAUUAUAUGGCUUUACAUUUCAAGGCUGUAAUUUUAUUUAAAUUUACCGUAUUCCUUAUUCUCUUUAAAUAUUUUAUGUUUGAUAAGAUCAUUAUCAGGAAGGACAUUGCAAGGGCUUCACAAGUCUUACACACCAUCCUCAUAUAAUUCAUAAAUGUUUUCAGGAAUAAUACUUGUUAAUUGCUAAGAAGUAAAGAGUCACAAUAUUCAAUUAUUUAAGUUAUGAGGGAGUGUAUUCUCCUUGUAUAGAACUAGUAGCCUUUUACGUUUAUUCCUCUGCUAGAACCAGUAUUAUAAAUACAUUGAUUAAAAUGUUAAUAAAAUGAUAGCUAACUUUUAUUGAGGAUUUAUUUGUACUAUAUAAUACACUAAGCACUUCACAUGCAUUUAUCUCAUUUAAUCUUUCUUACCACAUUUUGUGGUAAAACUGUUAUUGUCUCCAUUUUACAGAUGAGGAGUCUGAGACAUUGAAUGGUUAAGUAACAGAACAAAUAAAUAGCUGAAUCUUAGCUUUUAAUUAUGAUGUUUUAAUGGCUCUAGUUCCUGAUUUCAUUAAACUGAAUCUGUCAGUUUAAUUUUACCAGUACAGUAAAGUUUGCUCCAGGAAAUACUUUAAAGUUUAAACAGAGAUCAUCAAGAGUAUAUUUAUUCAUUUAAAAGCUAAAAACACUGUGUUUAUAUAGACCCCACCCUCAAAAUUAAAAAAUUCUUCCUGUCUUUGCAGACUGGCUGUGUGCCACAGUAGUUCUUUAACGCUUAGCUAAGCUUGCAAUCCACAUACAGUGAUCAGCUUUUGGUGGAAGCUUAGGGUCUUCUCAGUUACUUCCUGAUCAUGCAUGUUGCUUUGGGCAUGCACAUGGCCUUCUACAUUUCCCUCAAACACAUGAAUGCUUUUAAAUGUCUAUGUUUCAAUUGCAGUCUUUUGCUUCAGGCUUCUCUGGGUUAUAAGACCUUGGACUUAGACUUUUGGGAUAAUGCUGGAAUAAGACUUUGGGGGUCUAUUGGGAAGGCAUGAUUGUGUUUUGAAAUAUAAGGACAUGAGAUUUGGGAGCAGUCAGGGUCACAAUGAUAUGGUUGGGCCGUGUCCUCACCCAAAUCUUAUAUUGAAAUGUAGUUCCUAUGAUCCCCAUGUGUUGUGAGAGAGACCCAAUGGGAGGUAAUUGAAUCAUAAGGGUGGUUACUCCCAUGCUGCUGUUCUUGUGGUAGUGAGUUCUCACAAGAUCUGAUGGUUUUAUAAGGGGCUUUUUUCUUGUUUUGCUCUGCGCCUCUCCUUAUGCCAUUGUAUGAAUUAGGAUAUUUUUGUUUCCCCUUUUGCUAUGAUUGUAAGUUUCCUGAGGCCUCCCCAGCCAUGUGGAACUGUGAUUCAAUUAAACUUCUUUCCUUGAUAAACUACCCUGUCUCAGGCAGUGCUUUAUAGCAAUGUGAGAAUGGAUUAUAUAUAGGGUUUUUAGUUUGGCUUGUUGUAUGUUCUGUUGAUGUCCACUGCUUCUUCUAAGUUAGCCUGACAGCAAAAGGCAUCUUGUAUCAUCUUUCAGGUGGCCCUUACACAGGUUAGAACAUAUAUGCACAACAAUUUGCAAACAUUGUUCCCUUUUUCCUUUGAGAACAAAUAUCAGACUCCCACCCUGGGAAAGUAGCUACCUACGUCCAGACUGCUACUGGGCCAGGGAGGGGGUGGGGCAAGUGCAAGUGUAAACACCACAAAAUUUUUAAGUUACCUUUUUUCUUGAUUCAGUGUUCAUUUGGUUUUGGAAAAUUUUUGACCAUUUGUCACAGCUUUUACAAAGUCCUGAAAAGUAUCUUUUGUUUUCCAGUGUUUCUGUAGGAGGACAUGUACUUGGAGUUUCAAACUCUGCCAUCUUGCUGAUGUCAUGCUGCUUUCUUUCUUUCUUUCUUUUUUUUUUUUUUUAAGAAUUAAAGGUUUAACAGGAAUAACAAAACGUUAUUUUCUCAAAUUAAAAUGGUCCAUUUGAAAAUGUGUUUAAGACUUGACUUCUUAUGAAUUUCUGUUUUACAUCUGAGUUUUCAUUAUCUACAAUAAUGAUUUAAAAAUAUUUAGAGAACCAAAUAUGGCUAUUAAAUCUUUAGAAUGUAAAUACAACAAAGAAAAUCGAAAAUUUUAAAAUUCAUGAGUUUUCUGUAUUGACUCUAGCACUGGCUUUUAGAUCUAAUGAGUGGUCCUGUAUUUUUAGCAUAAAUAAUUAGCUUGGGGUGGCUAAUGGGUAGCCUGGUUUCUCAAAUGAUGUGGCUACCAUAUUUAUAGAUAAUGCUGAGUCAUUAUGCUUUGCUUUCACUGUGUGUGUCAACACAUGAAUAUACUUUUUUCAUAGAUUUUUAAAAAUCAUUUCUUUUUUAAAGUAUUUUAAAUUUAACUAAAACACUUCAUUGGUAUAUACUAAUUCCUUUAAAAGACUCAAAGACUUUCAGGACUUUACACUAAACUCAUAGCUUUGUUUUCAUCUUAGUUUGAACCAAGUCAUUUCCCCCCAUCUAACUAUUAAAUACCUGACUUUAUAUGUUGACAGUUCUCUAAUGAUUCAAAGAUAAAACCUUUUCUUUAUUAUGUAAUACUUUUCAGAAUUCAUACCUAGUGUGAUAUGAUACUCUAAAACCUGAUAUUUUCAGAGGUAAACUGAAGACACAUUUGAGUAGGCGUGAUUAUUUAUAGUGUUAUUCUGGCUGUUUUUAACUUAACCUAGUUUAAAAAUCUCUGGCUCUGUCUUCAUGAACCUAGAUGUUUAUGUAUAGAAAAAUACUACAGAAAUCUAUUGUAAACCUCCCUUUAGAAAAAUUUCAGUAGUGCACAGACAGAACCAAAAAUGUCCUUUGCUAAACAUGACCUCAGUUAAAGCUAAAAGGGAGUCUGAUAUCCCAUUCAUUCUGUUUAGAAAUUUAAAUUACAGUUAUACAUACUGGCUUAAUAAGUUAGACACACAUGUUAGAAAUUAUUAUUAGGCAAUAUUAUGCACUUUCUUCAUAAUUUAAACUAUCAGCAUAUUUUUGCAAAUGAGCAAUUUAUUUUAAUUGUAAAUAUUAUGAACCCAUUAGGAAAGUUGCUUACCCAUUAAUGAGAAAUGAAUGUUACAUAGAUUUCAAACUUACGGUCACAAGUAAUUGAUGAAUUGUUCCUAUAGAUAAAUGUUGUACAAUGUUAUAUAGUAACACAAAUGUGUUAUGUAUUGCAUAUAAUUCGUGCAUAUAUUCAAAAUAUAUUCAUUAAAGACAUCUAGAUUGUUUUACUGGUUAGUUUACAGUAGAUACUGAAAUACCUUAAAAGUUACAACUGUAUUCUAAAAAUUACUUAAUAGGUAAAUUACUUUUCAGGUAAGUAAAAGGAAUUCUGUUACCUUAAAAACACAUUUUAGAUAUUUGUGCUGUUUAAUCACAAUAGUCUUUGUGUAAGAUUACAUUAAUACUAUGUUUCUGUGUGUGUGUUUUAUGUGUGUGUGUAUGUAUGAUCCAAAUAUAGUCUUUGCAUCCUUGUUACAGUUCUGGCUACCUGACAACUUAGUUCAAGGAUCAGAAAAGCAAGUAAAAACAUCAUACUAAACUCUCUUGCACCCUCUGUUGUUAUUUUUGGGAAACACUACGUGUAUGUUCCCAUGAUUGUAUUGUCAUUACACUUACUUAAAUCUCUUAUAAAAUUAAUACUUAUUUUAUUAUACUUACCUCCAAAUUAGAUUCAGUAGUAAAGUAACACUGGUUUAUUUCCCAAACUGGUGAAAGUUGUUUUCUGGUGUUACAGAUAUGUUUUUUUAUCAUAUUACAGCUUAAAUGAAAAAUGAGCCUUUCUGUUUGUCUUCGAUUUCUCCUAGUUACUGGUUUUAAGCCCCUCCAAAUGUUUCCCACCAAGGAAAAUCUCUACAGGAUGUAGCAAAUUGUAUACACAAUUUUACAGAGUUACAGAGUCUGUCUGUUCUUUUGUAAACCUUUCGAUAGUCAGUUUCCUUCCAAAAUAAGAGUCUGGAAUCGUUCAUACUAAAAUUAAGAAUUUAUAAUUGUAAGGAACAGAUGUUUUCAUAAACAUUUCCUAUAAUUAAUUUCAACUAGAGGAUUGAGGGAACAAAGCGUUUUUCCCGCUUCAAAACUUUAUUGCCUUUUCCCCAUAUAGCCAACUCUGAAAUGUUUUCUCUAAUAUUGUUAGUGAAACAAUUGUACUCCUUAUUUGAUAUGUUUUUGAGAAAGAAAACCUGCUUUCUUUUUUCUAUUACUAUUUUUUGCACCUUGAAAGUUACAUUUAAUGUGAUAUUUUCAUUUGGAAACAAUAAAAAUUAAAGAAAACCUUUAUAAUAGAUGAUCAAACCUGGUUGUUUAUAAAACCAAAAGUCUCUUAAUUAUUUGAAGGAUUUAAUAUUUGAUCUGAUAAAUAUCAGCUUAAGGAAGAAGUAUUCUAUUGGGAGAUUUUGCAUGUUUAAUCAUAAUUUUUAGUUUUAAGGAGAAAGAAGCUCAUUUUAAAUGUAUAAUAUAGUGCUUAUUCUAUGCUGAUUAUGGAAUGUUUCACAGGAAAUGUCUGCAAGCUGUUAAAUAACAUGUGUUGUAGGAAAUUUUCAUUUAGCAAGACAGACUAAUUUUUUAAAAAUCUUUUCAGUGUAUUAUAAUGUUAUUAAUUUUUAAAAGAAAAUAAAGGGUGUUGUAUGAGUAAUAUUACCAUACCCAUGUUUUCAAAGAAUUAGUAACGUAUACCUAGCUAGGUUAUUUUUAAACAUUUAUAUGUUUUUGGAUUAUUUUCUUCUAUAAAUUGUCACCGUUUUUAAGUGUUGUAAUCCAUUUUAGGAUUUUUUGUUUUUUUAAAAAAAACAAAAAAAGCUGGAAUACUAUUUUGAGAAAAGAGUAGAGUUGCAAGUUUAAUAAGUGUGCUCAGUCCAGUUCUCCUCCUCCUGAACACUGACACAGCUGCACAUAUCUCACCAAACUCUCAAAAAGAACCACUGUUCUUCUAUCUGUCAACUAUAAAAUAUGUAAAGAAAGAUAGGUAGCUAUCAUUAAAAUUACAUUUCAGCAUUCAGUACCCAUUUAAUGAGUAGCAUAAUUAUAUAAGUACAGUACCUCAGGAACUAUACUCAAUAAUUAAAAAUAAUCUCAUCUUUAAAGUGAAAGCUCUGUAAUUACUGUUUGAUUUAUCCACGACCACUGUGAUGAUUUCCUGUUGUACCUUUGAUUGUUGAAAGUGUAUUAAAAGUAUAAAUUAAAAUUGGAUAAAUCAUUGUUAUUAAGCUAUAAAUAUUAUAAAAAUGAAUAUAAUCUGAUGUUUGAAAGUUACAUUAUAGGAAUUAGGAGUAUAAAAUGUAAUCACACUCUAAACUUUGUUUUGAAGAACAAAUUACAUUUUUAAUAGUGGUAUACUAUGGUUUCAUAGAAACUAUACUUUGAAGUGUAUUUUUU